UACGUAGGUGGCAAGCGUUGUCCGGAUUUAUUGGGCGUAAAGCGAGUGCAGGCGGUUUUUUAAGUCUGAUGUGAAAGCCUUCGGCUUAACCGAAGAAAUGCAUUGGAAACUGGGGAACUUGAGUGCAGAAGAGGAGAGUGGAACUCCAUGUGUAGCGGUGAAAUGCGUAGAUAUAUGGAAGAACACCAGUGGCGAAGGCGGCUCUCUGGUCUGUAACUGACGCUGAGGCUCGAAAGCGUGGGUAGCAAACAGG
Molecule: ribosomal RNA, 253 nt
Filed under: uncultured bacterium
Lineage: Bacteria
Description: partial 16S ribosomal RNA
Rfam family: Bacterial small subunit ribosomal RNA
Source: RNAcentral